Molecule: ribosomal RNA, 495 nt
Filed under: uncultured bacterium
Lineage: Bacteria
Description: partial 16S ribosomal RNA
Rfam family: Bacterial small subunit ribosomal RNA
Source: RNAcentral
AUGCACGCUGGCGGCGUGCCUAAUCCCUGCCAGUCGAGCGAACAGACGAGGAGCUUGCUCCCCUGACGUUAGCGGCGGACGGGUGAGUAACACGUGGAUAACCUACCUAUAAGACUGGGAUAACUUCGGGAAACCGGAGCUAAUACCGGAUAAUAUAUUGAACCGCAUGGUUCAAUAGUGAAAGACGGUUUUGCUGUCACUUAUAGAUGGAUCCGCGCCGCAUUAGCUAGUUGGUAAGGUAACGGCUUACCAAGGCAACGAUGCGUAGCCGACCUGAGAGGGUGAUCGGCCACACUGGAACUGAGACACGGUCCAGACUCCUACGGGAGGCAGCAGUAGGGAAUCUUCCGCAAUGGGCGAAAGCCUGACGGAGCAACGCCGCGUGAGUGAUGAAGGUCUUCGGAUCGUAAAACUCUGUUAUUAGGGAAGAACAAAUGUGUAAGUAACUAUGCACGUCUGGACGGUACCUAAGCAGAAAGCCACGGCUAACUACGG